GGCUGCAGUCGAGAAUCUUCGGCAAUGGGCGCAAGCCUGACCGACGACGCCGCGUGGAGGGAUGAAGGCCUUCGGGUUGUAAACUCCUGUCGAGGGGGAGGAAGGGGAAACCUUGACCGAUCCCUGGAGGAAGCACGGGCUAAGUUCGUGCCAGCAGCCGCGGUAAGACGAACCGUGCGAACGUUAUUCGGAAUCACUGGGCUUAAAGCGCGUGUAGGCGGAUGGGAACGUCGGAUACUGAAAGCCCCCGGCUCAACCGGGGAAGUGGUUCCGAAACGACCUGUCUGGAGGGACGUAGGGGGAUCUGGAACUUCCGGUGGAGCGGUGAAAUGCGUUGAGAUCGGAAGGAACGCCCGUGGCGAAAGCGAGGUCCUGGACGUCUGCUGACGCUGAGACGCGAAAGCUAGGGGAGCAAACGGGAUUAGAUACCCCGGUAGUCCUAGCCGUAAACGAUGGGCACUGGGUAGGGGGCUCGCCGAUGGGCUCUCUGCCGUAGCGAAAGCGUGAAGUGCCCCGCCUGGGGAGUAUGGUCGCAAGGCUGAAACUCAAAGGAAUUGACGGGGGCUCACACA
RNAcentral lists this ribosomal RNA (572 nucleotides) under uncultured Planctomycetota bacterium. Its description in RNAcentral is "bacterial SSU rRNA". It matches the Rfam family "Bacterial small subunit ribosomal RNA", at positions 347 to 927 of the family's 1533-position model. Lineage: Bacteria; Pseudomonadati; Planctomycetota. The record is from RNAcentral.